Molecule: long non-coding RNA, 2716 nt
Organism: Solanum tuberosum (potato)
Lineage: Eukaryota; Viridiplantae; Streptophyta; Magnoliopsida; Solanales; Solanaceae
Exons: 4
Source: RefSeq, a predicted model, not a curated record
UAUUUCUCCUCCUCCUUCUCUAUUACCCUAUUUGAGUUAGAUCUUCAAUGUUUUAGCCAUUGCUAGAAGUUGUUGUGGAGUUAAUUGCAAGAAGCAGUUAUGAAAAAAGGUAUUAAUCCUUCCCUCUUCUUCCGGUAAAUCCUUCAGUUUUUCUGUAGUUCCUUAUAGCAAUUGCUGCUGCAAAAUUUUUCCCAUUCAACUGUUGUUAAUUUCUGGUGGGUUUUCUUUUUUCAAUAUUGUGUUGUUCUAUGUAUUGGAAAUAUAUAAUCUUAUCGUUCUCAUAUUUGAAGGCUUGCUGGAUAUUUGUAUUUCCCACUUUCAGUGUUGGAUAUCUGUGGUUUCCCUAUUGAUAGUGCAAUGAUGAUUGAUGUUAUGUUUCUUUUCUCUGUUUAUUUGCAUGUAUUGUUAGGUUAUUAUACAAAGAUAAGUGAUGACUUUAAGGUAUCCGAUAAUAUGCCAAAGCAAUUGAAUAACUUUUGAUUUUCUUAUUUUUACCCACACUUUAUCUGUAACAUACUUCUCUAUCAGUCCAUUGGUGUAUUUUCUAUUUGUUAGUAUUAAAACGAUAUGUAUGUUCAAUUGCAAUUUGAUGCUGCCAGGCCAAUUUGUCAAUGUAAUACUUCUAGAAUAAACCAAAUCAUGACAGCUUCUUACACGAAAUUGAAAAUUACUUUCAACAGAAUGUCGAAAGAUUAAGCAUUGCGGUUCAGGAACCUAGAAUCAUAAACGAACAAUGGUGUACCAUAGAAACAUGUUAUGUCAUGCUAGAUAUGUAUAAAUGUCGCAAGUAAAUUCUAUCACAACAGCGAGCUAAAAGAGUUGAAUCAUAAAGGCGGUGAGUCUUGCAACAGUCAAAUGAUACACUGUCUUCGUCUGAAGUUGAGAGCCAUACGGAAAUCAAAGUGUGCUUCCAAUUUUUAAUCCAUUGUUAACUAGAUAAAAGUUGAAAAAAAUAAAUCUUCACGUAAUGUCGCUUGUGUAUAUAUAGAUAUACUUUCGUACAUAAAUUGAUUUACUACCAUUUACACUACUUUCUCUCCUACUAUUUUGCAAGACAUGCAUACUUUCGCGGCUACACAAACAACUGCUUGCACCUCUAUCUUUGAAGUAGGUGAGGCAGGGGAAUUGGAAAAUUUUGACUAAUCUAAUAAGUUCAAUGUGUCUAAAUAUUGUUUGUCUGAAUACUGAGACUAAUAUCAAGUAGAUAUGAUGCAGCAGAAAAGUUUUUUUCCACUCCCACUGAUUACUUCAGAUAGAGAUAGCUGCCGAGUAUAUGGAGAACACAGUGUGAUACUCCCUGGGAGAUAAAAAUGUAGUUUUUUUUUCAUACUUCAAGGAUCUGGUGGGCAGAGAAGUGACUGUGGAAUUGAAGAACGAUUUGGCUAUUCGAGGAACACUACAUUCAGUUGAUCAAUAUCUCAACAUUAAGCUUGAAAACACGAGGGUUGUUGAUGAGGACAAGUACCUCCACAUGGUAAUUCCUUUUUAUUCUCUCUCUUGUGUCUUUGUUCUUCUUAUUUUUUGUUGUUGAUUUCAUCUGGGAAAAUAUCGUUUAUUGCCUAUAUUUAGUUUGGAGAUGUAUUACAUCUUGCUUCUCUUUCACCUUCUCUAUUUGUGCGUGUAGAUCUGUUGAAAGCCUCUUUUUGGCCAUCUCUUUCUCAAUUCAACAAUUCUUGAAUUAUAUCUUUAUGCUUUUGGUAUGCAAUAAAACAAGUGGAUGUUUCUCUUCUAUAGUACUGAGGAUUUUUGAAUCCGAUAGUUUUGCUGGAAGCUACUAAUUUUGAUUGGAUAUGUGAAUCGAGAAGGUCAAUUUGAUGUAUUAACUUCUCUGUGUGUAUGUGUGAUAUGGGAUCCUUAGUCUAUACGGGGAUGAGGUUUUUCUAUCAAUACGACUAUGAUUAUCUGCGGCUUUCUCCUAGAAAUGUUUAAGGCUUAGUGUUCGUUCAUAGUUUCAAAUUGUCAUGCUUCAUCUCCAAUUACCUUUCUUGCUUACUAUAUGUUUAGUUAAUGGCUUUAUGAAGAACUACUUUUAUCUAAGAAGAAUAAAUGAGUUUAUGUUGGCUACUCUAUAGCAAUAUGGAAAUCAUUACUACUUGAAAUUUGUUUAUGCUAAAGGAAAGUGGACUUUGUUGUUCGUAAUAGUGCAUACUCUUUUGGAGAAUUGUUACAUAUAGUGCAAGUCAUCUACACUCUGUAGACGGCGAGAACUAUAUUGUUGAGGUAUGUUAUCAUUUCAUAUUUUACUAUUACUCAAAUUUUGAGCUAUUUCAUAUAUCAUAGACGUCUUAUAUUUAUCCUUCUGGUGUAAUCUGUAUAUUCCAUGCCUCUAAUGAGGCAAGCACAUCUUCACGUAUUACACUUUAGAACUGUAGUAGGCAAUGCCUUCUAGAUAUGAUAGUAUUUUGUAUCAGCGUUCAAUUAGACAAAUGUAGAGAAUAGACAUCCUUAGACUCAUUUCGAGGAAGUGAAGUCCACAAAACAGAACACUUUAAAAUCAAACUAAAACAUGUACAAGACGUGACAAAAUAUAAUUUACUCCUAAAUAUAAGAAAUAAGAUGUUAAAUUACCUUCUACUAAUAUCAUGCUUGGAUGAUGAGGUUGAUAUCAUACACCAAUAAUAGCGAUGGAACCCCACGAAAAUUUGUUCGACGAUUAGAACUACUUACCAGAAACAACUACAGGAAAUUAUAGAAAGUCACUAGAGUUGGAAAUAGU